Molecule: ribosomal RNA, 500 nt
Filed under: uncultured bacterium
Lineage: Bacteria
Description: partial 16S ribosomal RNA
Rfam family: Bacterial small subunit ribosomal RNA
Source: RNAcentral
AUUGAACGCUGGCGGAAUGCUUUACACAUGCAAGUCGAACGGCAGCACGGACUUCGGUCUGGUGGCGAGUGGCGAACGGGUGAGUAAUGUAUCGGAACGUGCCCAGUCGUGGGGGAUAACGUAGUGAAAAUUACGCUAAUACCGCAUACGAUCUAUGGAUGAAAGCGGGGGAUCGCAAGACCUAGCGCGCUUGGAGCGGCCGAUACCAGAUUAGGUAGUUGGUGGGGUAAAGGCCCACCAAGCCAACGAUCUGUAGCUGGUCUGAGAGGACGACCAGCCACACCGGAACUGAGACACGGUCCAGACUCCUACGGGAGGCAGCAGUGGGGAAUUUUGGACAAUGGGCGAAAGCCUGAUCCAGCCAUUCCGCGUGCAGGAUGAAGGCCCUCGGGUUGUAAACUGCUUUUGUACAGAACGAAAAGGUUUCUACUAAUACUAGGAGCUCAUGACGGUACUGUAAGAAUAAGCACCGGCUAACUACGUGCCAGCAGCCGCCGCAG